This 74-nucleotide transfer RNA is filed under the name Candidatus Falkowbacteria bacterium CG10_big_fil_rev_8_21_14_0_10_39_9. RNAcentral describes it as "tRNA-Asp". It matches the Rfam family "tRNA". From Rfam's summary of the family: Transfer RNA (tRNA) molecules are approximately 80 nucleotides in length. The record is from RNAcentral. Lineage: Bacteria; Candidatus Falkowiibacteriota.
GGAGUGGUAGCUCAGCUGGUUAGAGCGCCGCCCUGUCACGGCGGAGGUCGCGGGUUCGAUCCCCGUCCGCUCCG